UACGGAAGGCAGCAGUGGGGAAUAUUGCACAAUGGGCGAAAGCCUGAUGCAGCUAUGUCGCGUGUAUGAAGAAGGCCUUCGGGUUGUAAAGUACUUUCAGUCGUGAGGAAGGUGUUAAGGUUAAUAACCUUAGCAAUUGACGUUAGCGACAGAAGAAGCACCGGCUAACUCCGUGCCAGCAGCCGCGGUAAUACGGAGGGUGCGAGCGUUAAAUCGGAAUUACUGGGCGUAAAGGGCACGCAGGCGGUUAAUUAAGUUGGAUGUGAAAUCCCCGGGCUUAAACCUGGGAAUGGCAUUCAAGACUGGUUAGCUAGAGUCUUGUAGAGGGGGUAGAAUUCCAUGUGUAGCGGUGAAAUGCGUAGAGAUGUGGAGGAAUACCGGUGGCGAAGGCGGCCCCCUGGACAAAGACUGACGCUCAUGUGCGAAAAGCGUGGGGAGCAAAACAGGGAUUAGAUACC
RNAcentral lists this ribosomal RNA (458 nucleotides) under uncultured bacterium. Its description in RNAcentral is "bacterial SSU rRNA". It matches the Rfam family "Bacterial small subunit ribosomal RNA", at positions 340 to 786 of the family's 1533-position model. The record is from RNAcentral.